Molecule: small nucleolar RNA, 72 nt
Organism: Balaenoptera musculus (blue whale)
Lineage: Eukaryota; Metazoa; Chordata; Mammalia; Artiodactyla; Balaenopteridae
Source: Ensembl
GGUGCAUGUGAUGACACUGUUCAGCGACCAAAGUCUGACGCAAAUGAUUGCUACCUCAUUGUCUGAUGCACU